This 6054-nucleotide long non-coding RNA is filed under the name Sus scrofa (pig). Its description in RNAcentral is "lncRNA (ENSSSCG00030068174.1)". The record is from RNAcentral. Lineage: Eukaryota; Metazoa; Chordata; Mammalia; Artiodactyla; Suidae.
AAAAAAAAAAAAAAAAAAGGCUUUAUCUGAAUACACCCAGGGAAUGUCUAGUUACCUUAAAAAAUACCUGGUUAUAAUGAGAAGUGACGGCAUUAGCAUCAUUAGCAUUUCCAAAUGCUGGAGGCAUUGACAGAAAAUGAGAAUACCCAUCAAUAUCAUGCACUGGGGUUUGGACUGUCUGACACAUGCUCUGCUGGCUCACUUGUUGUAGGACUUCAUUUAGCAUAACAACCUCUGAAUCAUACCUACAAUGCCAGCUCAGUAUUUCCACUUGGAAUAAAGGAACCCAAAGUGAAGGGAUCUAUUGGAAAUCUUUAACAUUUGGGGGUUUGUGGGUUGUUUAUUUUUCUUCAUGGAAAAGCAGCAGUUUUAGUUCAGAUAGCUUAAAGCACAUUGAUUUGUCCUGGAGGCAUCCUUUCUGUCUUGGGGAAAGCAUAGCCAAAUAGGGAUUCUUAUGUCAAGGCAUGUGAUUUAUUUAUAUACUGGAGCACAGAGUUUAAUGCUUGAAUUCCCAUUAAGAACUUAGGAUCAAUGGGUGAAAGGGGCAAGUACUUUCAAGCUACCCAUACCAUUGUAGAUAAGAUUUUGGCAUUUUUAAAAGUUGAGAAAACGUACUGAAAAAUUGUCAGAGGAGUUUGAAAGUUAUUAAAAGCAUCAUUAAGAUAUUUAUUUUCUUCAUGUGUAUUAUACUGUAUUAAGCUCAAAUGGCAGAAGAAUAGUUAAUAUUGUGGGGAAAUGUUCAUGCUAUUUUGUUGAGUAAAUAGCACGUAUUAAAGCAUAUUAGAAAGGAAUGUGUACUGUGUUAAUCUAAUUUGGUUAAAAAGAAAAGAAAUGUAUAUGAUAAAUGCACUGGAAAAAAUGAAAAACUAUACAUCAAAACUUUGGUAGAUGUUUUCUCUGUGCCUCAGUUUAAAAGUUUAAAAGUGAGGAUGAUGGGAGUUCCCAUUGUGGCGCAGUGGAAACGAAUCUGACUAGGAACCAUGAGGUUGUGGGUUUGAUCCCUGGCCUCGCUCAGUGGGUUAAGGAUCUGGUAUUGCCGUGAGCUGUGGUGUAGGUUGCAGAUGUGGCUGGGAUCUGAUGCUGCUGUGGCUGUGGUGUAGGCCGGCAGGUGCAGCUCCAAUCAGACCCCUAGCUUGGGAACCUCCGUAUGCUGCAGGUGUGGCCCUAAAAAGCAAUAAACAAAUAAAUAAAAUUAUCUAAUGUUUAGAAUAGUGCCUCCUUAUAAAUGAUAGCUAUUAUUAUCUUUAUCUCUGUGAAUAGUGUUUUUAUAGAUUACUGUUCUAUAGACUUUCUUUUGUUUCCUUACUUUAUUUUCCUAAUUUUCUAUAAUAUACAUAUUAUUUUUAUGAUUAAGUUAUUUAAAAAUAUAUUAUCUACUUCUAAGAUUUUUUUUUUAGUUCCUAGAUGCUGUCAUCCAAACAUCAGAGGAGUAGAUAAGAGCUUGUCAUUCCCCUUUGCUGCACAAACUCAUAUUGUAAUUCAUCAAUUAUCUGAGGAUUGUCUUCUCUGAGAAGCUAUAAGCUUCACUGAGUAAGGCCCUGUCGGUCUUGGUGAUUUUAGUUUCCUUUUUUGUCUAGUGCUUUUCCAGUUCCUAGUCUAUGCUCAGUAAACGUUUGUUGAAUGAAUCAAAGUUAAGGGUAUGUUCAAAGCAAUUCAUAAUCACUUAGUGCUUUAUGGUUUAGUUUUAUGUGUUAUGUCGUUUAAUGAUAAUAUUCACACAUACAUAUAUUUUUUGGGGGGCGGGGCACAUCCAAGGCAAGCAGAAGUUCCCAAACCAGGGAUCCAAGUAUGCCACAGCUGUAACCAGAGCCACAGAAGUGACAAAGCUGGAUCCUUACCCCACCGAGCCACGAGAGAACUCUAAUUUUAUAUUUAUUUGCUUAUCCUUUAUAUUACCUCCUAUUUAUAAAAUACAAUUAAGAAAAUAUUUUUUUCCAUUAAUUUCUUACAUUCUCUCUCUUUGAGGGGAGAGGGUGUUUAAACUCACAGUAACCCAAGUAUUAGCAAUAAGACAGUUUUACUUGCCCGACAUAUGAAUAAUUAAACUUCGUAACCAUUUUUGCAGCUUUUUAUCUUUCUUUUCUUUCUCUAGACCUGUGAAGGGGGAUGGCAGAGUCUAAGUCUUGUAAUGAACCCCUAACUCUGAGAUUAGAUGUCAGCAGAAAGUUGGGAUUUAGCAGGUGGCUAAUUCUUCUUAUCCUAGGUCAUAGAUGCUGAUUCGCAAAUGUGCAGCUUCAAAGGAAAGGGUUUUCUCUGUGACAACUCUCUCCUAAUAAACUCAAAGGCCUUCCCCUCGUUCUCCCCUCCCUCCAUCCUUCCCUUCCCCUUGCAAAUGCAGGCAGGUUCAAUUAACAGUUAACUGCAAUGGUGGAACAACUGCUGGAAAAAAUUAGAGAUGUUGGGGCAGAACCAGAUUCCUGUUGUUCUCCUUUCUGUUUAUUUUCACUUGUGGCUCUUGUGUCCUGGUGGGAGGGUCCUUGACUGGAGGUUAUAUGAUUAGGAUUCUGGUCCUGGAUUUGAUUCCUCUAGGAUUCUGUCUCCUCAUCGUCACAGUAAUGGCAUUAGGCAUCUAAAGACGCUUUCAGCUCUGUUGAAUUGUUCUAAUUUUAUUGUCUGUGUGUGUUUGUGUGUGUACACGAUAAUGUCAACAUUAAUGAAAUUUCACAAAAUAAUUGUAAAAUGCAGCCUGUAAUGAUUUUUUAUUAUCUCCUCUACCUUGUUUUGCUAUAAACAUUCAGGGGAUGGACUAGGGGUGGUGUAAAGAGAAGAUGGCUCUGAGUGAGCAUAAUUUAAUUUGUUUUCUGGCAUUCUUGGGUCACAUUUUUUAAUUAGGAAAGAAGAGUUGGCAUUCAGUAACAAGCUUUAUGGUUUCAAACCUAAUUUGUGGGUCCGAUGUAAUUUAGAUGACUUCAGACUAUUUACGUGAAAUGGGAAUGGGUAUUGGCAGCCCUUUGUUAGAGAAGCCUGAGGUAUGGUUUUCAGUCCCUCAAACUAAUAUGUAUAUUUAGCAAGGACCAGAGAACUCAUGGAAGAGGGUUAUCUACAGAGAAAUCAGCCAUUAAACCCUCUUCCUCUUCCGGACAAGCCCUUCACUUAAUUGUUCUGGGAGGGCUGGAGCUUGGGCUUGCUUCUCUUUGUUAUGGCCUGUUUCCUCAUUGACAAGAAAUAAUAUAUUGUAUUAGCUGCCUUGUUGAUUUGUCUACCAUGAUCUCACCCACAGGCUACUGUACAAGUAUUUACAUUUCUCAUUAAUAAACUGAGGAAGUGAUUUUUGCAGUGGAUAGACCUGCCAAACAGUAUUUUCUUUAACUUGGGUGAAUCAAAUCCUCCAUUCAUUUGGAAUUUUUCAAACAUGCAAACAUUCUAUCCUAUCUUUGUGAUAGGAUAGUGGGAAUUUAUUAUUAAUAAUGGUAUAUUUAAUGAGUGCUACAGCAAUAAAAGGCAUCCUUAACUUUGAGAGCCUACGGCCUUAUAAAUUCUAAUUUUCUCUUGUCUAUCUCUUCCCUCAUUGACGGUGACUUCUGAAGGGGUAAGGUCCCUGAGGUUUGAUGAGCAGGAUAGUUGCUUGCACAUGAGAAUUGAGAAGUGAUUCCAAGGUUAAGGUGUAAUGUAGAAAAAGAGACGAAAAGACUAGCAUGUCUUCAGCAAAAAGAGCUGAGGUAGGAAGCACAGAAUGAAAAAUAUGACUCGUAGAGGACAUUAGAGGGAAAGAGAGGUACCAGCCAUCAGUGGACUGGUGAGAAUGACAGCUCACCUUUCAGGAAGAGUAGGAUUUAGUGCAGGUGACUCUCCCUCUCAGGGCUGAUGACCUUUUAGGGAAAGGUAGCUUACUGAAAAAGGCAAUGCUGUAGUGAAAGCUAACAUUCUUAGACCAAGGGUGUGAUAGCCAGGGUUUUAUGCAAGUGAUUAAUCCACUGUGUACCAGUCAAAAUGUGCUAGCUUAUAUACAUACUGAAUAAAAAAUAACAACCAAACUUAGGGAUGCAUAACUACAAAGUUGGAUCUCUCGCUCAUAUCCCAUGUGCAUCUUGGGUGGGUGGGGCCUCUGUUCCACAGUGCCCUCCUUCGAGGCACAGGCUGGCAGAGCUUGGACCAUCUGGAAUAGCGCCAUCUGCCAAGGCACUGGGGAGCAACGGGUGAAGUGGGAACUGACUGCGAAAGGCUUCUCCUUGGGAGAGAGGAAGUUACUUCUAGGCACACUUCAUUGGCCACGGCAUAUGCAGGAAAAGGGCAGUCCCACCUUGUGGCCAGGAAAGGAGAAACAGAAAUAUUGGUGAAUGGCACCAAUCUCAACCAAAUGGAGCUAAAUAUUUUCAGUUACUAUUUGGUAUCAGGAUUUUAAAAGUAAUACCUUAGUUAAGGAAAAAUGGACAUAGGGACUAAUCACAAAAAUUAUUUAAUAAAUCCCUGGCUCAGGGCUGCUAUUUCUUUUUCUUUCCUUCUUUUUUUUUUCAUUUUAGGGCCCCACCCAUGUCAUAUGUAGGGUCCCUGGCUAGGGAUCAAAUCCAAGCUGUAGCCGCUGGCCUACACCAAUGCCAGAUCCAAGCCAUGCCUGCGACCUACACAUACCACAGCUCACGGCAACGCUGGAUCCUUAACCCACUGAGCAAGGCCAGGGAUCAAGCCUGUGUCCUCAUGAAUACUAGUUGGGUUUGUUACCGCUGAGCCACAAUGGGAACUCCAGGGCUGCUCUUUCUUAGCUGUAACCACACAGCAGUUACUCUGAGACCUGUACCUGGGAAUGCAUCCAUGAAAGCAGUGUGAGCAGCCCCAAUUUAAGAAACUGAAGUUUUCUUUUCUGAAAGUAUCCAUUAAUUGCAUAUCAUCAUUAAGGAAAAGUUCAUUCCCUCUGUAAAGAGAUAAAAUGAUUUAACAUGAGCACAUGAGCAGACACGGGACCACACUCCCACCUCACCUUCCGUCCGUAUCAAGAAUUCAGUUCAACAGACUCUGGUUUGAGAAAUACAAGGUAAUGUCAUAUAUUUUUAGUAAGUGAUGGUGAUGUUGUAAUGCCGUGUUAUAGAUGAGGAACCAGGCUCUGAGAGGUCAAGUCACAUUUCCGAAUAGCACAGGCUUUGCCUCUCUGGCCUCCAAGUGCGUGUGCUCACCUGCAUCCUCUUGCUAGUUUGCAGCAAGCCUGGAACCGAGCAUACUGAGGGCUGGGGCUGUGGGGUCACGAGACAGAUGCAGCUGGACCACCCACCCUCGACUGGACACCCCUGCACUAAUAAUCUUUCAAAGAAGUGUGUUUAUUUUGUUUGUUUGGGUUUUUUUGUUUUUUUUCUAGGGCCAUACCUGCGGCACAUGGAGGUACCCAGGCUAGGGGUCUAAUCGGAGCUAUAGCUGCGACCUACACCACAAUUCACGGCAAUGCCGGAUCCUUAACCCACUGAGUGAGGCCGGGGAUUGAGCCCGAAACCUCAUGGUUCCUAUUCGGGUUCAUUAACCACUGAGCCAUGACGGGAACGCCAGAAGUGUUUUUAAAUUAGCAAUUUUCGUGGCUUUUGCUACAGAAGCCCACUUAUUAUUGUUGUUUUUUUCCUGGGCCUUGGAGAGGGCCUUUUCCUGAGGCUGGGAGCCAGGGAUGUCCCAGAAGAUGAAGACCAGAGCCCUUCCCAGAAAAGCACCCUUGCCCAGCAGAGUCCGCCUCCUGAUGCCUGGAUGUGGUGGGGUGGGGUUUGGAGUGGGGGCGUGGGGGAUGCGGGGGCUUUUAGGAGCCAGAGAGCUGGGGAGAUGUGCAGGCUGAGUGAUGCGUCCUAAGUGCCGUGGAAGUCAGAACAGGGGUGUGACAGGGGCUGUGAGGAUUCUUGUAAAUUGAAGACUGCCUGUAAUUUGAUGAAGGCACCCACAGCUAAUGGACUUUUAAAGGAGCGCUGAAAGCAAAUCAAGUGAGGAAGAUGGCAUGUGGGGAGAAUUAAAAGGCAAAUAGGGUGAAAUUGUCAGUCAACCAGAUGCAGCCAUUAUUCACCAUUUCUAACUUAGAAACAAGUGAGGUCUAGAUCAUGUAUAAACCAGGAACACUCUGACAUUAACUAAUUUGGGGAUUUGCAACAG